CCUACGGGAGGCAGCAGUGGGGAAUAUUGCACAAUGGGGGGAACCCUGAUGCAGCGACGCCGCGUGAGUGAAGAAGUAUUUCGGUAUGUAAAGCUUUAUCAGCAGGGAAGAAAAUGACGGUACCUGACUAAGAAGCCCCGGCUAACUACGUGCCAGCAGCCGCGGUAAUACGUAGGGGGCAAGCGUUAUCCGGAUUUACUGGGUGUAAAGGGGGCGCAGACGGCUGUGCAAGUCUGGAGUGAAAGGCGGGGGCCCAACCCCCGGACUGCUCUGGAAACUGUAAAGCUGGAGUGCAGGAGAGGUAAGCGGAAUUCCUAGAGUAGCGGUGAAAUGCGUAGAUAUUAGGAGGAACACCAGUGGCGAAGGCGGCUUACUGGACUGCAACUGACGUUGAGGCUCGAAAGCGUGGGGAGCAAACAGGAUUAGAUACCCUAGUAGUC
Molecule: ribosomal RNA, 440 nt
Filed under: uncultured bacterium
Lineage: Bacteria
Description: partial 16S ribosomal RNA
Rfam family: Bacterial small subunit ribosomal RNA
Source: RNAcentral